This 352-nucleotide unclassified non-coding RNA is filed under the name soil metagenome. RNAcentral's name for it is "partial contains 5.8S ribosomal RNA, internal transcribed spacer 2, and large subunit ribosomal RNA". The stretch from base 1 to 120 matches the Rfam family "5.8S ribosomal RNA", at positions 35 to 154 of the family's 154-position model. The record is from RNAcentral.
GAUGAAGAACGUAGCGAAAUGCGAUAAGUAAUGUGAAUUGCAGAAUUCAGUGAAUCAUCGAAUCUUUGAACGCACAUUGCGCCCGCCAGUAUUCUGGCGGGCAUGCCUGUUCGAGCGUCAUUUCAACCCUCAGGCCCCCAGUGCCUGGUGUUGGGGAUCGGCCCAGCCUUCCUGUAAGGCCGCCGGCCCCGAAAUCUAGUGGCGGUCUCGCUGUAGUCCUCCUCUGCGUAGUAGCACAACCUCGCAGUUGGAACGCGGCGGUGGCCAUGCCGUUAAACACCCCACUUCUGAAAGUUGACCUCGGAUCAGGUAGGAAUACCCGCUGAACUUAAGCAUAUCAAUAAGCGGGGGA